This 1050-nucleotide long non-coding RNA is filed under the name Papio anubis (olive baboon). RNAcentral describes it as "lncRNA (ENSPANG00000037048.1)". The record is from RNAcentral. Lineage: Eukaryota; Metazoa; Chordata; Mammalia; Primates; Cercopithecidae.
AUGCCCUCCAAAUGGGCAUUGGGAGGCGUCCCUCUGUGCCUCCAUCGUCCGCGCCUCGCUCCAGCGGCAGAAGGGGCAGCCCUGGCCGCGGGCCCCGCCAUCUCCGUGUGCCCGGAGGCCGGCCCGCGCCCUUCUCCACUCGCCAAGCUGAGCGCAGAAAGCGAGUGUCGCCCGCCGCCCGCCUUCGCCACCGAGACUGGCUGCGGAGCGCGACGAGCCCUCGCCGCGGCCCCGGCCCCGAGGGGUCCCCGUGCGCCCGGCACGGCCCAGGACUGUUCCCAGCGCGCGCCGCGGACUCGGAGGACAGCGCGCUCGGGGGCCGGCACCCUCCAGCGUCCGCCCGGCCCCCAGCGCCCCGUGCCCCGGCCCGAGGGACCCGCCGCCCCAACAAAGUUGGCGCAGGCUCUCCGAGGAGCGCCCCCCACACGGCCCGGUGCCCGCUGGCGCGCAGGCGUGGAACGCGGGGACGGGCACCGGGCCGCCGUCGGGGUUCGCGGCCGCCCGGCUGCGCCCCGGCUUUGUUCGCGCCCUGCGCCCGCCAGCUGCGCCCGGCCCCACGGCGCCCGCCCAGCCCGCCGCCGCCCGCUUCCUCCAGCCCGGCCCACCUUCUGGAUGGUUUGCUGCGUGACCUUCCCUUUGCCUCUUGGCCGGGCGGACGCGAAGGCCACGGACAUGGUGGCUGCGCGGGACUCAGCCCGUGGUCAUCGGGGUGGAUACUCCGGCUGCGCUCGGCGGCCCGAGGCGCUCAUUAUCCGCAGUAGCGGCGGGGGGGCAGAGGGGGGGGGACGCGGGGGGCGCCGCGUCAUGGGCUCGUCCGCCUCGUCGCCGUCGCCGAGCCUCCGGGCCCGCGGCGCCGCCGCUCCGCCCUGCAGAAGGGUCUGCGGCCCAGUGCCGAACGGUGGCCCCCGGCGGCCCCCUCGCACCCAGCGCCCGGCCCUCCGCCGGAGCACCGCCUCCCAACCCCGGCCACCGGUGGUUCGGCCUGGCCCCGCCCCGGCGCGCGCCCGCACGUCCGCCCGGCGCCGCCUGACGCCACCCGACGCCGCCUGA